UGGACUUCUUCAUGUAAGAUAAGUUUUUCACAAUUUCUUCAUGUAAGGUAUGGAAGGUAAAUGGGAAUUAGUUUAUAAUCUCCUGUCAGUGGGAUCAUACCCAUCAGAGUAUGAUAAAUCCAAAAGGCAGAACCUUCGUAGAUAUGCACUCAAAUUCAACUUAAAGGGUACUGGAAUGUGAUCCAUGUCAAAAAGUUGGAAAGCCUUUGACUGCUGUGCAGACCUUACAGUGCAUUGAGGAAUUCACAAGCUCCAGUGUGGAUCCAGAACACUUAAGAAGAGAUGAUGGCAAACCCCUCAGAAGACUUUAGAUGUUACCAACCCUGAAACAACAUACAGCACUACCGAGUUCUGCUACUAAUUUAUAGUUUUUUUUGUCUGUUUGAUUACGUCAUUAAUUGAUCUUUACCAGACAUCUCUGCCAUAUGUACAUCAACUUGACAGUCACCACUAGUGAUGGGUCAUUCUUGAAUGAUUCGUUCAUUUUGAACGAAUCUUUAAUGUGACUCGGGACGAACGAGUCGUCUCGGGGAGUGAUUCGUUCAGUCGCACAUGCGCAACAUCCUAUUAGGUUCUGUACUGGAAUUAGUUCAACUGUUUUAGAGUCGUUCGUUCACCUUAUGGGGAUGUCACGUGAUGAACGAACGACUCAAACCCGAAGACUCAAAAGAUGAACUAAUUAAUUCUCUUUCCGGCUCAGCCUGCAUAGGUUAACAUUACGGGGAUGUCACGUGAUGAACGAACGACUCAAACCUGAGGACUCGAGAGACGAACUAAUCAAUUCUCUUUCCGGCUCAGACUGCGUUGGUUAGCUAAUUGGGCUGUCAGGUGAUGAACGAAGGACUCAAACCCGAAAACAUGUCAGAUAAGAGGUGAGGUGAGCGAAUCAUAGACUAAAGACACAGGUAAACAAUGAAUUAAUAUUUUCUGUUUCUUAUAGCAUUAUAGUUUUGUUUUGUUUGUAGUGUGAUCAACGUUUGUGUAAGCAGUAGAUGUGUUAGGGAAGUAAAACGUAACAUUUUAAUUAUAUUUUGCUAAAAUGAAAAAAUGAACGAAAUGACUCGAAAAAAGAUUCGUUCAUUUUGCUGAACGAGACUCAAAGGACCGAGUCGGUAAAAUGAUCCGAACUUCCCAUCACUAGUCACCACUAGUAAGCUACUACUAAAUAUAUUGUAAAAAAAAUAAUUUGCUGUUAAGUUGCUUUGCAACAAUAUCUAUCGUGACAAGCACUAUACAAAUAAAUUUGAAUUGAACUGAAUGUACACGCAAAGAAGAAGGCAUAAUUAUUGUAUCUGUUGGCGUUCUUCUUUGUCUUCUGCUUCUUCUUCUUCUGCUCAAGUCUAUGGCAGCCCAUAGAACCAUUUGCAGGAAAGUAGUGAAAUUUGGCACACAGAGAGGACAGUCCCAACAUUAACCACAGCAAGUCUGGAGCCUCCAACUCAAACUCUGUAGUGCCACCACUUGUCCAAAGUUUCAAUAAUUUUAUGCUAAUAACUUUUGAACUGUAAGGCACAGAAUGAAAAUCCUUGACUCACACCGAGUCGAAUGAAGUAAACUCAAAAAUUGUAAAGGUUUUUCUCCACUCCCGUGCGAGAUGUUACUUAUUCAUUUAUAUUUUUAAAUACCCAGUCAUAGAAGUAUUAUGAAAAAUACAAAUUAUUUCUGAAAAAUUAAAUACUUGCCACAUGCACUUCAUGUGUACGCUAUUCUUCUAUUGCAUCACUCGUACUUGCAUUAAAUGCCACAUUUUAAUGGGUAAAUUAUUUUAUCAGAGACAAAAAUUCAAACAAACACACACUUUUAGACUUGUAUGCGUGCACGUAAAUGAGUCGAUCUGUGAAAUGUGUGGUGAAUGCUUCGUCUGACGGUGUUUCUUUUACAUUGUGGCUGUCAUCCAAUUUUCAUCAAAUUUAACUCGGAUCAUCUUCAGACUUUGCUGGCAAAAAGUUAUGAAGUUAAGAUGCUGAGCAUUUCAUUGUGAAAGCGAAACUACUUUGUUUGGUCUUCUAAAUCAGUACACAACUAGAUAUCAGUGGUUAAGUUAUAUGUACAACACACAAUACAAAUAUUUGAGUGUGUGCAUUUUAUGGAGGACUGUUUCCUGAACCUGUGAGAGUAGUUUUUGUUCCUCACAAACAUUCAAACAGUUUGAAUUAAAUCAUGUAUUCAGUUGCAGUUCAUUAUAAAGUUAGUAGCCACCUUAUCAUUGAUUUCUGUAGAGCUGUACAUUUUAAUAAGGAUUAAAUGAGUGAGUUCAACUUUGAGAAUGAAAACUAACCUGUUUUUUUCUCUGUAUCUUCAUGUUUGACCCUGAAUGUUUCUU
Labeo rohita (rohu) is the source of this 2323-nucleotide long non-coding RNA. RefSeq lists it as uncharacterized. Lineage: Eukaryota; Metazoa; Chordata; Actinopteri; Cypriniformes; Cyprinidae. The transcript is spliced from 4 exons. The record is from RefSeq and is a predicted model, not a curated record.